AUUGAACGCUGGCGGCAGGCCUAACACAUGCAAGUCGAACGGUAACAGGAAACAGCUUGCUGUUUCGCUGACGAGUGGCGGACGGGUGAGUAAUGUCUGGGAAACUGCCUGAUGGAGGGGGAUAACUACUGGAAACGGUAGCUAAUACCGCAUAACGUCGCAAGACCAAAGAGGGGGACCUUCGUGCCUCUUGCCAUCGGAUGUGCCCAGAUGGGAUUAGCUAGUAGGUGGGGUAACGGCUCACCUAGACGACGAUCCCUAGCUGGUCUGAGAGGAUGACCAGCCACACUGGAACUGAGACACGGUCCAGACUCCUACGGGAGGCAGCAGUGGGGAAUAUUGCACAAUGGGCGCAAGCCUGAUGCAGCCAUGCCGCGUGUAUGAAGAAGGCCUUCGGGUUGUAAAGUACUUUCAGCGGGGAGGAAGGGAGUAAAGUUAAUACCUUUGCUCAUUGACGUUACCCGCAGAAGAAGCACCGGCUAACUCCGUG
RNAcentral lists this ribosomal RNA (490 nucleotides) under uncultured bacterium. Its description in RNAcentral is "partial 16S ribosomal RNA". It matches the Rfam family "Bacterial small subunit ribosomal RNA", at positions 30 to 507 of the family's 1533-position model. The record is from RNAcentral.